Onychostoma macrolepis is the source of this 2117-nucleotide long non-coding RNA. RefSeq lists it as uncharacterized. The record is from RefSeq and is a predicted model, not a curated record. NCBI's taxonomy places the organism in Eukaryota, Metazoa, Chordata, Actinopteri, Cypriniformes, Cyprinidae. The transcript is spliced from 4 exons.
UGUGUUUAUCAGCGUCUUUAAAACGUCGAGUUCUACAGAAAAAUGUGUUUUGCUUUGUGCUCAUAGUCGUCGGUAAUGAUAACUGACCGAAAUUAGCCUUUUUUGAUGCAGAUUAACAAAGUUAUUGAACGCGGAAGUCCGAAUGUGCGAAUAUGAAACCAACUUUACCCAAGUGGUACGGGGCACAAAGAAAGAGAAACAGAACUUGUCACCAUCAUCAGUCCUUUAUUUCAUUCACUGGGGAACAUCACAACCUUCAGAUGUGUCUUAUCAGGAUAAAUGUAGCUGCAGGGAAAAUUAUUUGAAGGACUCGUCAGCCCGAUCCUACUCCAGAUUCACCAAGGAUCCAGCUGAAGCCCUGUUCACACUACAAGCGUCACGCAACGACAAAGCAACACGAUCCGAUUCAUUUCAAUGGAGAGCUGGCGAUUUCCGGCGACAGAGGCCGUUGGCGACCGGAUGGGGCGUGUCCAGCGACGCGACAAAGUUCAGAAUCAUUCAGCUUUCUGCAAAUGAAGAGCGAUAGCCAAUAGGAAAGAAGAUGGAAGAGCUCAUGCGAUCGUUCUCCUCUCAGCCGUAGAUAAACAUACACAAUGGAAAAAUAGGCUCUGCUUCUCAUUCAUAUUUGUUUCGGCAAGAAACCUGAUUCGCUGUGAAGGCAACCAGUAGUGAGAACGCCCGCUAGCAACCUCAUCACCAGCCCCUGUGACCGCAGCUUCAUUACUGGCCAUUUGGAGGAGGAUUGUCCUUUAUUUGCUACACUGCAUUGCCACUUCUGAGGCUCUUUAGAAGACUGCACUGAUGUCAAAGGUCAACCGGCAAGAAGCUGAGGGGGAACUCUCAAAAUUGGUACAAGAGACAGAGGACUGAGGGUGUUUAGAAUGCACAAAUGUCUGUCUGCAGUGUAAGCAGUACUGAAAAAUGUAUAGUUGCUGCUGCUUCUAACUGUCCCCAGUUUUUUUUUCUUGUGCAAAUGUUCAAAGCUUUCAGUAAACACUGGUUCAAAUACAGGUUCAAAAUGUGUGUUAACUUUAACAGUUACAUUAAUUUUAACAAUUAGGUAUUAGAAUAUAGCAUAAUAUGAUGGGUAGUUUCAAUAAAUUUGAAAUUUUAAGCAUAUUGUCUUGUUGGGCCCACCCUAACACCCAGAUAGGUUUUGCAUAUGAUCCCUAGUUGGGCCCCACCUAAAACCCAGUGAAAUCCUGCAUAAAACCCACAUGGAUAAGUUGCAUGGGGCCAACAUGGAACCCGUGGACAAACCCACUUACAACCCAUAAUUAGAUGGAUCCCAGAUGGGUAUUGCAUAUGAUCUCUUGUUGGGCCCCACUGAAAACCCAGGGAAAUCCUGCAUAAAACCCACAUGGGUAAGCUGCAUAGGGCCAACAUGGAACCCGUGGACAAACCCACUUACAACCCAUAUUUAGAUGGAACCCAGAUGGGUUUUGCAUAUAAUCCCUAGUUGGGCCAACAUGGAACCAGUGGACAAACCCACUUACAACCCAUAUUUCAGCCCAUGUAGUAACCUUGUAGUACCCACAUAAAAAAUAAAGCUGGGGCCAAGAUGGGUCUUGCGCAUGUUGCCCAGUUGGGGCCCACCUGUUGACAAGUACAAUCCCACAUGAAAUCCAUGUGGGCAAUUGGCAUUGCGCCAUUAUGGAACCCACAGACAAUCCCAUUUUGGGCCCACUUUUUCAGCCCAUGUAAAACCCACCUGGGCCCCACACACAAAUGUUGGCUGGGUGCUUGGGCCAUCAAUGUUAAAUAACAAAAUGCAGAGAAAAUCACCCACAGCUCUUAAUCUGAAUAAAGUUAUAGCUUUAAUAAGCAUUAAUUUAUCAAUACAUACAGUGAAAAUUAUGCAGUGUUAUUUUACAUUUUAUUUUUUUGUUUGUUUUACAUUUGAUUACUUUUAGAUUUGUUUUGUAGCUAUUACUUACCUGAACAUUAAUGUUAGUAGACCUUCAUGGAAAAAUGAAAGGACUGUUUAUUUCAUUUAAUUUGUAUAUUUGUUUUAUUGUAUUUGCCGGUUUGUUUUACUUUGUUUCUUUGUUCAUGUUCUUACUGUAUCUUAUGUAUAUAAAACACUAAAAAUGCCUGCACACUGGUGCAUUUACAAA